CGUGCUUUGGUUGAGAGCGAGCGAGACAGUAGACUUUAAACAUAGGUGCGAGAGAGAUAGUCGCGUAAACGCAGACGGGGACAAUGCGUCAAUUUAAACCUCAUUAUUGACGAUCGUAAAAUCAUCAAUAUUUCAACAUAUUCAAUUUCAAAACGUCGCGUUUUUAAGUAAUGUUUCAUUUAGUGAGCCAAAUAACUUUCUCUGUGCAUAAUGUCAAGAAGCAGAAGUAGCUAUUCAUUCGGAACCCGUUGUAGUGGAUGAGGGAAAUAGCGAGGUAACGAUUACUCACCAAUAACCUCUUUGAGCUCAUAGUCGUCCUUGGUGUUCGGCCAGCCCUGCACGACCGUGGUAGAGCUCGAGGACGCCAUUUUGUUCGCCAGCGUCGUGCCAAGGCGUGCGUGCUUGCUGGUGCCUCGGGUGCCCCGCGCGAGAAGUAACACGCCGCUCUUUAAACGUGCACUACCGCUGUUAGGUGCUUUCG
Bombus pascuorum is the source of this 481-nucleotide long non-coding RNA. RefSeq lists it as uncharacterized. The transcript has 2 exons. NCBI's taxonomy places the organism in Eukaryota, Metazoa, Arthropoda, Insecta, Hymenoptera, Apidae. The record is from RefSeq and is a predicted model, not a curated record.